Molecule: ribosomal RNA, 449 nt
Filed under: uncultured bacterium
Lineage: Bacteria
Description: bacterial SSU rRNA
Rfam family: Bacterial small subunit ribosomal RNA
Source: RNAcentral
AGUGAACGCUGGCGGCAGGCCUAACACAUGCAAGUCGAGCGGCAGCGCGUCCGACCACCCUCGGGUGGUCGGAUGGCGGCGAGCGGCGGACGGGUGAGGAAUGCAUCGGAAUCUGCCUCGUUGUGGGGGAUAACGUAGGGAAACUUACGGCUAAUACCGCAUACGACCUACGGGUGAAAGUGGGGGACCUUCGGGCCUCACGCGAUGAGAUGAGCCGAUGCCGGAUUAGCUAGUUGGCGGGGUAAAGGCCCACCAAGGCGACGAUCCGUAGCUGGUCUGAGAGGAUGAUCAGCCACACUGGAACUGAGACACGGUCCAGACUCCUACGGGAGGCAGCAGUGGGGAAUAUUGGACAAUGGGCGCAAGCCUGAUCCAGCCAUUCCGCGUGCAGGAUGAAGGCCUUCGGUUGUAACGUAGACUUUGUACGGUAACGAAAGGUUUACCGUUAA